Molecule: ribosomal RNA, 497 nt
Filed under: uncultured bacterium
Lineage: Bacteria
Description: partial 16S ribosomal RNA
Rfam family: Bacterial small subunit ribosomal RNA
Source: RNAcentral
GAUGAACGCUGGCGGCGUGCCUAAUACAUGCAAGUCGAGCGAACAGACGAGGAGCUUGCUCCUCUGACGUUAGCGGCGGACGGGUGAGUAACACGUGGAUAACCUACCUAUAAGACUGGGAUAACUUCGGGAAACCGGAGCUAAUACCGGAUAAUAUAUUGAACCGCAUGGUUCAAUAGUGAAAGACGGUUUUGCUGUCACUUAUAGAUGGAUCCGCGCUGCAUUAGCUAGUUGGUAAGGUAACGGCUUACCAAGGCAACGAUGCGUAGCCGACCUGAGAGGGUGAUCGGCCACACUGGAACUGAGACACGGUCCAGACUCCUACGGGAGGCAGCAGUAGGGAAUCUUCCGCAAUGGGCGAAAGCCUGACGGAGCAACGCCGCGUGAGUGAUGAAGGUCUUCGGAUCGUAAAACUCUGUUAUUAGGGAAGAACAUAUGUGUAAGUAACUGUGCACAUCUUGACGGUACCUAAUCAGAAAGCCACGGCUAACUACGUG